This 209-nucleotide long non-coding RNA is filed under the name Elaeis guineensis (African oil palm). RNAcentral's name for it is "long non-coding RNA (EGUI_LNC001377)". The record is from RNAcentral. Lineage: Eukaryota; Viridiplantae; Streptophyta; Magnoliopsida; Arecales; Arecaceae.
UAGUGGUGUGACUGAUCUUUUGACCUGCGGUGUGUUGGCUAUUCACAGUGAGGCUACUUAGUUUGACUACAUGUUCUCUUAGUCUUCUAGCCAUUCAGAUCCUUACUGUGUAUGUUGGUUAUUAUAGGUUCAAGUUCACUAUUUGAAGUAGGAUGCAUCUACAUGGAAUUUAUCGAUCUUGAUAGAAAAAGAGAAGUCCUAUGCGAUUC